This 264-nucleotide non-coding RNA is filed under the name Melampsora larici-populina 98AG31. Its description in RNAcentral is "Eukaryotic small subunit ribosomal RNA". It matches the Rfam family "Eukaryotic small subunit ribosomal RNA", at positions 1188 to 1403 of the family's 1831-position model. The record is from Rfam by way of RNAcentral. Lineage: Eukaryota; Fungi; Basidiomycota; Pucciniomycetes; Pucciniales; Melampsoraceae.
GCUUAAUUUGACUCAACACGGGGAAACUCACCAGGUCCAGACACAGUAAGGAUUGACAGAUUGAUAGCUUUUUCUUGAUUUUGUGGUUGGUGGUGCAUGGCCGUUCUUAGUUGGUGGAGUGAUUUGUCUGCUUAAUUGCGAUAACGAACGAGACCUUCUCCUGCUAAAUAGCUUGGUUGGCUACGGCUGACUAAAGCUUCUAGAAGAGCUGCAGAACUAUGAACGAUAUAAGGUUGGUCCAGAGAUUCCUCUGGAUUACUAUGC